Molecule: non-coding RNA, 19786 nt
Organism: Rattus norvegicus (Norway rat)
Lineage: Eukaryota; Metazoa; Chordata; Mammalia; Rodentia; Muridae
Source: RefSeq, a predicted model, not a curated record
UCAUCCAUGAACAUUUUCCAUGCAGAGUCUCACUGAUCUACAGGUAAGUUACAACCUCUGCAUAGUUAAGCGGAGCCACAUAGGGACAAAUUCCUGCAGUAAGAAAUAUUUUAUGUGCCUGGCCCUUUAAAUGACCCUAUGGUCUUCAGUGACAGUUGGCUCUUGGACUUCUGGGAACAGAAUUGGGUAGAAAGCCAACAGAAGCUGAGAGGGAGGGGAGAAGUGAGAAGGAAGUGGGAGAGAGGAGGAGGAGAAGUAGGGUUCAGGAAACAGAAGAGUGUGUCAGCAAAGAAGAAAGAAGACCUUAGGCAGGGCUAGAAAAGAGUAGAGAAGACAUUUUGAAGAGUGAAACUAAGAAACAGUUAAAGUGAGCUAGCAGUGAGAAGACAGUUGGUCACAGUUUACUCAGGAGAAGCUGGGCAGAGGCAGAGACAAUAGUGUUAGGAAACAAACAAAAGAAGAACCCAUGAAAAAACCACAAAUGAAGUAGCUAUAUAAGUUUAUAGAGAAAAAGAACAAUAAAACAAAAAGGGAAAAUUUUUAAGCCAAAGGAAAAUUGAGCACCCAAUGUGGAGUCUGUUUGAAGGAAGAAAAACAAAUCAGAAACAAAACAAACCAACCUUAUAUUAAGAGACAUUUGGCCACCAUUGUGGCCAGGCAGGAUGGGAAGCUUUAUUUCAAGUACGAUCAAGGAACAGAAAAGAAGGGAUGGGUAAUUUGUUUGAAAAAGCUGAUAGUGUAUUUACAGAUGCUGUUGUUGGAAUAUACCCUCCAUUGUUUUUAGUCAUUUUCCCCUGUUUUUCCUUGUUUUGACUUAAUUAGUUUAUAAGAAUGUUAAAACACUGGUUAGCCAACUGGAAACCUUACUGGCGGAAACAGAGCAACUUGGUAAUAAGAGAGCAUCAAGAAAAAGGAGAACAAAUAUGUUCAUUUCCAGUGACUAAUUCAAAAGGAGGGAGUUUCCCCACAUAGAAAAAGAGGGAGGAAAUGUGUCAAUGGGCAGUUGUAUCAAAGAAAUGAAAAAUAAUGGUCAAAUAAGAAAAGUUUUUUUUUCUUCCAGAAAUAGGGAUAAACCCACAGCAGUCCUUGGUCAAAAUCACCAAGAGCGUUCCCAGUACUUACAAAGCAUAUGCCUGCUAAUGAGGAUAAUCCACAAGGUUAUCAUGAGAGAGGUUGCAUUCUAUAGAAAUGGAAGGCCUAAAGCAGUUUAAGGAGGCAAUGAUAUUUUAUUUGAUGCACCCAGCAUAAGUGAAACAAACGCUACAUUGGAAUACUCAGAAUAGGUGUAUUCCCUAAGAAUGGAGGGCAUUGGUCACAGUUGUACUAGAGGCUGGUCCUUAAAUGGCAAUGGUUUUCAUAGUGAAGAGUAGUCAGGAAUUUGGAACAGCACAAUAGAGCAAGAGAAAUUAAUUUGGGGAGGGACCGGUUGAUAGGUAAAAGUUAUUAUGCUGAUAUGCAAGAACAGUUCAAUUGAAGAGGCAAUCAUAGAACAAUGUUUCUUUAAGAGCAUGGGGCAAAGUUUACAAGCCAGAAAAGAAAUCAAACAUCAUUUACAGAAAGUUUCCAAGGCUUUGAAGCAGCCAUCUUUGAUUUUUUUUUACAAAGAUUAAUCUCAGCAGUAAAUAAGACUAGACCCUAGCCAUCGAAACUGAAAAUGUGGAGUGUAAAAAGUCAUAAGGCCAGUGAAGGAACAGGCUAAGCCCAUAGAUGUACAGAUAAAGAACAUGAAUGAUAUUGGUUCUAAUUUAUACACAGCUAGUAUAACAGGUCAAGCUACAGCUAUAGGUCUCCCAUAUCAGAAGGCCUGGUUCUUUACUUGUGGGAAAUAGGGACAUUUGAAACAAAAUUGUGACCAAGGCAUCUCUAAGGGCAAUUGUCUUCCAAAACAUAAUUCAGAAAGUGCAGACUUCCAGGAGGGUGCAGACGAUGUGGCAAGGGUUACCAUUGGACCAAUGAACUUAGGUCCAAGAGAGAUAUCCAAGGCAAUGUCUUGGAUAAUGCCAUUGGGAAACUAUAUGGGGGUGGGGGCUUUAAUAGAGUUAAACUUAAUAGAGAUGUCAAGAUGCACACGUGGAUCACAGAGAUCCCAAACAGGACUCUAUGUUGCCUUCGACUAAUUCUCCUACUGGGCUCAUUAUGCAAAGGAAAGAUAGUAUUUUAGAAUGGAUUUUCAAAGCAUACAAAGUAAAAAAUUAAAGGCUUACAAGGAAAAUGUUUCUCACUCAAUUAUAAAAUAAGACUUCAUGAAUUAUCAGGCAUAGACACAGCACAAAUCAUAGUGCUUUAUAUAAUGCUAAGAUUACUUCGUUAUGGGUAAUCAAUAAAGAAUGGGAAAGAACUUGUGGAACCUCCUUGGGAGAAAUUAACCAUCUAAUAUCCUAAAAGCAGAUGCCUUUAUUUAUAAAAAGUACUAAUGGGAUUCUCUUAUGUAUUUUAAUGUUAAUGCCAAUUCCUGAAGUGCCUACAUUUUUUUACUGAUGCAAAUAAAUUAAGAAUGGCCAGUUAUACAGGAGAAAAAUUAGCAAAGUAAUGCAAAGCCCAUGUAAUUCAGUUCCAAAAUAAAAAAUUGAGAGAGAGAAUUGUAUGAAGUUCUUACGUAUUGUAUUAGUUCUAUUAGAUUUUUCUGAACCUAUUAACAUAAUUACUCUCCAUAUGAAGAAAGAAUUAUUUUGCAGACAGAAACUGCUGGUAACUAAGAAUUAACAUUUUUAUACAACUGCAAUAAUUAGAAACAAAUUAUUAAGUAUGACCCAUAUUUGGUCUCCUACAGGCUUGCCAGGUCAACUAGCACAAGAAAGUGAGGAAAUUGACCAUUAGUAAAACAAGAGCUAGAAGCCUCAAAACUUCAUAACCAAUACUGUCUUAGUGGUAAAAUUCAAAUUUUUUUCUGUCACUUGGCAACAAGACAAGUAAAUUAUAAGAAAAUGUCAAUCUUGUUUUUUGUAGAACCAAACUUCAUUACAAAUAAGCUACCCUCAGAGUACCAAAAGAAAUGAAAUGAAUGUGUUUCACUUUGCAGAAUUUGAAAAAGUAAAGUUUGUACACAUACCGUCAUUGAUAUAGGCUCAGGGUUUCAAUGAGCAACUGCUUUGAGUUCUGACAAGGCUGAUUUUAUAAUUAUAAAAUUAUUGAAAGUAAUGGCAAGUGUGGGGAUACCUGUACAAUUUAAGAUUGACAGUGAUAUAUGUCUCCAAUAAGAUGAAGGGAUUCUUUGCAUAUUAUAAUAUAAACCACAAUACAGGUAUAUGACACAAGACUACAGGACAAGUAGUUGUAAAAAGAUCUAAUUGUACCUUUAAAAAUGCUGAUACAGCAAAAAGGAAGGAAAAAGACCCCCAGGGGUGGACUAAAUAAUGCUCUGUUAACUUUAAAUUUUCUGAACAUUAAUGAGAAAGGAACAACAGAAGCUGAAAGACACUGGGUUAUAAAAAAAACCUUUGGAGUUAAAUCAACCUACACACUAUAAGGUUGUGUUAACAUCAGAAUGAAAGGUGGCAAUGUAUUGUGUUGGGGACAUGGAAUUGUUAGAAGCUAUGGAUACAAUUACAACUAAGAAAGCUCAGAUCAUCUGAAAACCUUGAACACUGACCAAAAAAAAAAAAAAAGAGUAGGAAAGAGAUCCUCACCAACCACAGCGUUUCCCUGCCAGUCAGCAGAGCCAAACAAGAAAAGUUGAGCACCCAAUCACUGGCAGGCCUAUGGGGAUGACUUUGGUCUCCUACAAAAGACAGCCAUGCUCAAUGCAGAUCAACAACAGGCUAAGGGGCAGGACAAUAAGGGAGAUGAUGCUGAAUACAGCAUCCUGAAAGCCGACAUGGAGACUAAGCAAAGCUUCACAGAGCUGGGGACAGAGACUGAGACCUGGAAAAGGAACUCCAAAGAACAAGAUGUUGGAAGAUAAGGUGGCCCAGAACAUAAGAAAGGUUCAUGAGGAAGGACCCAAAUUGCAGGAAGGAGAUCAUCCCUGUGAGGGUCUUAUGUUGUGGAUAUGCUUCUGAUCGAUCAUCAGAAAGAUCACAUCAGACACCCAGAACCCUGGGAAAGUCAUUGGAAAUAAUUGAGAAGCAGCUGCAAAACUGAGCACUGAGCUACAACAAAAGGGAGGAAAUGCACUGUGAAAUAUUGUAUGUGCCUGGCCCUUUAAAUGACCCUGCACUGGAAAGUGAAUUGGGCUGGCAGACUGAGAGGACAGUUGGUGACAGCUUGUCAAGGAGAAGCUGAACUGAGCCAGAGAAGAUCUUAGGAGACAGAUAAAAGGACACACAAUGUAGCUAAGUAAGUUUAUAGAGACAAAGAAAAAAUGCAACUUUUCCUUUUUUACAAAAAGGAAGAGGCCUCCAAACAAAGCCUCUAGCAAGCUUCAAGUGGAAACAUCGUAUCAGCCCCACUAAACCUACCCUGGCUCCUGCACUGCAGACCUUCCACCAGCAAUAUAAGGCAGUGACUCGUGCUCCUUGCCCAGGAACUUCUCACCACAGUUUUUGUGAUGUGAAAAGUGCUCCAAGGUCACCUGAAGGAUGCUAAUGAAUUCACUGCAGUGAUUUUACUGAAAUGCAGCACACUGCACAGCUGUGAGGGAGAAUCUGUCCUGAAGCCCAGCAAUGCACAUGCUCUACUCAGCAGCACAGUGUUAGCAGAGGGAUACAUUGUAGGAGUCCAUGCAUCCUUAGGGUGAGGCCAAUAAGACAUACCGGGAAUUUCCAUGGGCGUACCUCUGUGCAGGGAAAGUAAACUAAACUUCUUUAGUUUACUUUUAUUUUAUUUUUUUGUAAGUGUUUUUAUUUAUUAUAUGUAAGUACACUGUAGCUAUCUUCAGAUACACCAGAAGAAGGCAUCAGAUCCCAUUACAGAUGGUUGUGAGCCACCAUGUGGUUGCUGGGAUUUGAACUCAGGACCUCAGGAAGAACAGUCAGUGUUCUUCACCACUGAGCCAUCUCUCCAGCCCUUUUAUUUUUUAAAAAGCUAUAUGAAGUUUUAGUAUAUUAAAAAAUGUUAGUUACAAAACAAUAAAAUUGUAUAAAUUGUAAAGAAAGCCACCAUGUUCUUCCUCUCUCUGAGCAAAUAAACCUUGUAGGAAAUGAGACAAAACAGUCUACGUGAGAGGGGACAGGGGAUCCAAAGAAUGCUGGUCAGCCAGCUUUGCCCACCAAUAUACACAUCUGCACAGACAGACACACACAGGUCAUAGAAAUUAUAAGUGAGCAGAGAGCACUGAGGACAUCAUGCUGGCUGAACAGUUGGAUUUAGAUUAUGCAUAGGAGAUAUUUCAAGUGAGACCCAUGACUCUGGUGUUCAACUUGGGGACUGCAAAUGCCUAGGGACAGCAAUGUUGAGGUCGUUGGAGAAAUUUUUUUCUUUUGAAUCCUCAAAUCUGUCACACUAACCCACAACCUGUGAGAAUCCUUCCCCACACCGCUGGUCAUCCAGGCAGCUCAGGAAAGAAUUCUCCAACAGGACGCACAGAAAUAGGGCAAACCUGCUGCUACUCAGGCCCUGUGAGUGUGAAUCAAGAUGUGCAAAGGCUGAAGAGACCAUCUUGUGAUGCAAGGAACAAGGGGAAAGGCCACAUGCCAUUCAAAAAGGAGACAAUGAGAACCAUUCAUUUCCAGUGGGCAAUAUCUUUGCAAGUUGCUUCCUACCUGUGACCUCACAUGACCCCUCUAAAACCAAUGAGCCACAGGCUCCUGACCACGUCAAUCAAAGCUCUGUGCUUGCUCCAGAAGUGGCUCCCAAUUAGCACAACUUCUGAGUCAGUGGCGUAUCAGGGUGUGCUCUGUGAUCAACCCAUCUCCCUUGAUGAACUGCAGCUUCAGUUAGAGCAGGAAAUUGUCCUUGCCUAUCAUUCAUUUUCAUAAUAGAGGCUAACUCCAGAGAAAGUCUUGUAAAUGACCACAGAAAUGAACUACUGGAUGAAACAUGGUUGAGCGCCUGUGUAAGGUGGAGGAUGGUUGCAUGGGCUUGACUGUUUAUGGUUAGGCACGAAGGCAACCUGCCCCUGCUUGGUACAUAGAUUUUCCUGCUAGCCUCCCCUCUGAGCCCUUCCGUCUCCUCCCAGGACUCUCCUGUAGUGUAGUCUGCCCCCUGCAACUUUCUGCUCUCCUUCCUUAGUCCGAGAGGUACAAGUCCAAGAGGUUCAAGUCUCCGGGCAAGUCUUCUGCUAAGAGGCAGACAGUGUGGAACCGGAGAUAUCACUUUGGUUCAAAAGCAAAGAAGGGAGAAGGAUUCCCUGCCAAUUGCUGCGGUCCCAGUCCUAUCAGUCCCGCGCAGUAUUCAUUUUCUAGUGUGAGUUCAUUACAUUUACCCGAAGACUCUUAUGUGCGAUCACUAUGCUGCAUCUGAGUCGACUCCCUCAACCUAAAACUAAACUACAACCAAAAAACUGGUGAAGCCCUGCCAGCCUCGAUCUGCCUCCCACUACUUCACGUACUUUUAAGUACUAGACAACCAACGGGAUUCAGGUACCUCGCAGAAGAGGAUGUGGUCCCCACUUGUGCUUAUAUGUCUGUGGUUUUAGAAAACCAUGAGCAGGGAGAGGGCAACUCUACUUCUCAGAGAUGAGACAAGACUGAACAGGAAUGCAAUCUUUCUAUGUCUCAUGGAACCCAGAUCUCUAAAUCCGUGGUCAGAGCCCCAUAGGCUCAGGGCUGAUUGAUCUCCCUCUCAUAAUGCACCCCCUUUUCUUUCUAGAGGCUCUGGAGUUGGGCGGGACAAUGCUUGGGUGGCUCACGGAUGGGUCACAUUCAGGAAAACUGAGUCCGAGAGGUACAAGUCCAAGAGGUUCAAGUCUCCGGGCAAGUCUUCUGCUAAGAGGCAGACAGUGUGGAACCAGAGACAUCACUUUGGUUCAAAAGCAAAGAAGGGAGAAGGAUUCCCUGCCAAUUGCUGCGGUCCCAGUCCUAUCAGUCCCGAGCAGUAUUCAUUUUCUAGUGUGAGUUCAUUACAUUUACCCGAAGACUCUUACGUCCUGGGUGAAUUUUCUGCAGGUCCCACAUACCCUUCUGAUGUUGCAUAUUUAGCAUCUCCAAUUCAAAGUUCAGCCUGAGGUAGGGCUCACCACUGUGUGCAAAGAACCCCAUGAAUACAGGAUUCAAGGCUCAGAUUAAUUCAGGUUGCAGCCUGGAGUACUCCCUUCCAGAAUAUGCAAAAUCCUUGCUCCUAUGUGCUGGUUCUCUUGAUGCUUACAAAAUGUAUUAUCCAUGUCCAAGACCAAAGGAGGCAGGAUAUAAAAAGGAGGGAUCUGGGCUGGAUAAGCUUAGUGGGACUGUAGGAAGACACCAGUGCUCUAAGAAGUUCCCAGAAGUCUGUACCACAGUCCUAGGCCCACCAGAAAGCCUUGAUGACAUUUCUUCUGUUUUCAGAACAGGGAUUCUCCGUACUGGGUUCCUAUUGCUACAGGAAAGCCCAGAGGACAUAACCAAUAUUUCCAGGGAGGAGGCUUUAUAAACUCACCAGGUGAUUUCAGUUUGUCACCAAGGCGAGCACUGGGGCAAAGGGCUCUGCUGCUCAAAGUGGAGUUCUGUGACUUCAUCAUUGGGAUCACCUGGAAACUUCAAGGCUGGCAAAUCUUUAGGACUGACAAUCACAGCACCUAGCAUCUUGCAUGAACCAAUUCCUGUCAAAGCCUCGUAUUUACAUGAGAGCUCACACACUACAGCCCCUAUGGCCCAGACCGUGAUUCUGGUGACAGAUUAUGCUUCUCAUUUGGAGGAAGAAAAUUAGCUUGUGUCCCCAUCCACUUCUAUCUGCUGCUAUGCUCUGCCUCUGAGAGGCACACAGGAAAAUGAGUUUGUGUGUGAGGACUCCCUAGAUGUGCAGCCUUCUGUGACAUUAGGAAAGCUGAGUUAACAGAAAGUUAACAAGACAGCCAACAGGCAACUGGGGAUAGUGACUCCCUGUUGUUUAAAUCCUUUCUAGUGUAAUGUGAUAGGAUUUUAUGAAAUUCGUUCCUUUCAUUUUUAAUUUUCUGGAACUCAAAUUUCAGUUUCUCCAAUUUCUUCAUCUGAUGCUCCUGCUCAGUGAGGGUGGAGGGUUGGUACGAUGCCUUCGCAGCAGACCCUAUAGGUAGAUAAAAACAAGUGAAAAAGCAUAGUUGAUGUCACAGGCCCAGGAGAGACCAUGCUGAGUCCCCAAUAGAAGCCUGAGGAAGAGGGAAUGCUAGAGACACAGUGAAUCCCUGACAGAGCAGGAAAGCUGUCUUCAUGCUGGUCUCCUCAGCUAUGUCCCUGUUCCCAAAACUACCAUAGCUAGACAUAUGCCUCACUCACUCUGCCAUUCCCCCAGACCCAAAAUGCAUAAGCUGGCCUAGGCAGGAGGAUUGGAGGGCAUUGUCGGAUCUUAUCAGAUGUGAUACAACUAAUUCCUGAAGUCCAUAGUGCUUAGGACCACCGAGCCCUAAUCCCGUGUUCAAGUUCAAAGUGUCUGAAUGAUUGAGACCUUGAUACAUGACCAGGGAGUAUCCCUCUCUGUUCUUGGCAUCGCAUAGCCAUGUAACUUAAAGGAGUCCAUGGAGGAUGAAGGGCCUCAACACCCAAUCCUGAAGGGAGACUUUACUUCCUUCUGGCAUCCUUUGCUACUCACAAUGAAAUUAAGGAGCUCCCAGCAGAAUGACUUCAUGUUUGUCAGUUCUUGGAUCUCUGCCAAACUAACCAUCAGAAAUCCUCGGCUCUGGAUCUGCUCUUUAGGAAGCCAGAGGCUCCAGAUUACAAACCCUACUCCUGGAAGGACCAGUUCAAGCCUACCUCCUCCGUGAAGCUCCCUAUCCCCAGCCUGUGGUUUAUUCUGCCUUCACCAGGAUCAUUUAUUUCUUCCCCUUUAUGCCAAGUCCAAAGGUCAGCUUCCUUGUACCUCUCUCUGCUCUCUCUAUGUGCUCCAUUCUCCCUACGAAAUGGACUUUGCAGUUGAGACAAUAUAUCUAUGAGCAAAACCUCAAGGCACUGAAUGCCCUAAAUACAGUUACUGUUGCCACAAUCCCAGUUACUGUUGCCACAAUCCCAGUUACUGUUGCCACAAUACUGGUGGCCUCACAGAGAAUGCUAAGGAAUCUCAGAGAUACAUUGGAAGCUCCAGAGGGGGGACUGUUAGCUUCCCCUCCAGAAGCCCCAAAUCACUAGCAGCCAAGCUGUCCUUUCCAGGAGUCUCCUGGAGACACAAGAGAAGACCUUCAAUCGCCCCCUUCCAAAGGCAGAGAUCUGUCUGCUCCAUUAGUAACUUUUCACUCCUUCAUGAAUAGUGAAGAUACACGUUCCAAACACAGACUAGAAAUGGCCCUUCCCCUCCUAAAGAUCUUUAAUCAAUGAGUUGAUGAAUAAAGGUUACUAGGACUAUAGGUCAAAUGGUGAGGAAGAAAGAUUGCUCCCCUGUAGUGGUAAUCAUAUCAGGGUAGAUGUACAGGGCUCUUUGAAUAAGUUGGGGUGAUGAAUGAUUAUGGGUGUUCUGUCAGAACAAUGGGACCCUAAGAAAUAGGAUCUAUCUCACUUUACAGAAGCUCUCAGAUUCUAAGCUCCUUUCCUGGAAGACACAGUUCAAGUCUACAUCCUCCAGGAAAUUCCUGUUUCCAUGCCCAGGACUCACUCACUGCAUAUUCUCCAGAACCAUUUGUAUCUUCUUGUACACCAAGAUCGAAUGCCACUUUCCCACUGCUCAUCCUUGAUAACAUGUCUGCAGGUGAACUCUAUAGGCGCUGAAGGAAUAAGCCACAGGCAGUUGGUGUCACCACAAACAUGGUGACAUCACUGAAGAUUCUACGGCUCUCUUGGAUACAAUACAUUACCCAGAGAAGGGACAACAUACUAAUGACAUUAUUGGGACCUGCUCUAGCCUACCCACUAACUAGCUCUCCUCUAAUUGAACAGAAGCUGUGAUGCCCUAUUCAGGAACCUCUCCUGUGACAUGGGGAAUCUUUCACCACUUCCUCCUUCCCAAGCUGGAGAUUUCUCUAUGCCCUUGUUAGAGCCUCACUUUUCAAACACUGCUCAGGGGUUAGUCGUUCCACUCAAUUGGCAAAAAGGCUUUCCCUGCAGUGGACUCCCUUUGUAAACUUUAUGUACUGUGUACCAAUUUUGUAAAUCCUCGAGGCAGGAAAAUAGCCAGGCCCCUACCCGAGAAGCUCCAGCAUCCAUGCCCCUCCCCUGAACCUCCCUAAGUGUCAUAACUGUCACAAAGGUCAUCUUCAGACCCUCAACAGGAACCUCCUCAUAUUAUGAUAAUAUUAGGUGAAACAUUUGAACAAAAGCCACCAAUCCCUGAACUUCAAACAGAAACUAAUCCCUGACCACUAAAACUCACCAAUCCCUGGACAGGAAAUGUGCUAAUUCAUGAGCUCCCUCAAACUCAGGACUUGAAAUCCCACCAAUCCUGACUCUGAAAAAUCUCCACUCUAGGAAGCUCCCCUUACCUACUCCCAGGACCCUGUAUAGGUCCUGUUCCUUGCCCAAUUCUUGGUGUCCGCUCCCACUUGGGAGCAAAGCCAGGCACUCCUGGAUUCAACCAUUCACAUGCUGGACCCUCCAACCAAGCCCUUUUUUGAGCUAUGCUGCCCAGGGUGACUGACUCAUAGGAUGACAAGAAACAGUGAAGAGGAGCAGGAAAGAAGUGAGGUGAGGGAGCAGGGCUGAGGCUCCUGAGCUCCUGGCCUCAGCUGGGGAGACCCUCCUGUCUUAGGGUUUCCAUUGCUCUGAGGAGACACCACAACCAAAGCAUCUCCUAUAAAGGAAGACAUUUAAUUGGAGCUGGCUUACAGGUUCACAGGUUCAGUCCAUUAUCAUGGCAGAAGCACAGCAGCAUCCAGGCGCAGCAUCCAGGCAAGCACGGUGCUAGAGGAGCUGAGAGCUCUAUGUCUUGUUUGGAAGGCAAACAAGAGAAGGCUUGGCCUCUCCUGGCAACUAGGGGGAGGGUCUCGAAACCCACCCCCACAGCAACACACUUCCUCCAACAAAGCCACACCUCCUAAUAGUGCCACUCCCUGGGCCAAGCAUGUUUAAAUCGCCACAUUCCACUCCCUGGUCCCCCACGGCUUUUUCAAACACUUAAGUCUAUAGAGCUAUACCCAGCCAUAGCAUAAUGCGAAAUGCACUUAGUCCAAUUUAAGUCUCCACAGUCUAUAACAGUACCAAUAAUGUAAAAUGUCCAAAAUUCAAAGUCUCUCCUGAGAUUCAUCCAAUCACUUAAAUAUAAUCCCCUAUACAAUAAAAAUAAAAAAGCAGAUCACAUAGCUCCAGCCUCAUAGGAUAAAUAUUACCAUUCCAUAACAUCAUAGCGAGGAAAUGCUGAACCAAGGCAAGAUCAAAACCCAGCUGUGCAAACUCCAAACUCUGUCUCCACAUCUGAUGCGAAAGUGCUCUUCAGCUGUUUGACUGAAGCACAGUUCUUUCUGGUUGGUUCCACUCUCUACAGUCGCUUUCCUCAGCAGGUGUCCCCUGCCUCUGUCAUCUCUAACAUCUUGAGUGUUCCAGGGCAACUUCAAGCUUACAGCUUCUUGUUCCAAUGUCUGUGAUUUACAAAUGAUCUUCUCUGCACUUCCAAAAGACUUGGGUUCCACUUCCAGCUCUGCCUUCUGGAGCUCUCUACACUCUGAUUGGCCCUACUCGACUGCUGCUGGAUUGGGGCGUCAUCCUAUAGCACUGGCAUCUUCUGUAUGCUGAGUUGUUCUUUUGCAACUAGACUUCACCCUUCGUGCUGUCAUGCAUCCACUUUUUGGCAUGAUCCCUUAGUCCUGGGCUAUGAACUGCAACUGAGGCUGUGACUCCACCAAUGGCCUUUCCUGACCACUCAGAGUACCAAGCACCAGUUGCUUUCCGUGACCCUUCAUGCCUUCAAAACCAGUACCACCUGGGAAAUUGUCAUACAUUACCAAGUGCAGCUACAGCACAAGGUACAACCUUGGCUGUCUCUGGAGCACAGCUUCCUUGUAUUCUCGGAAAAUGCCUCUCAGAACAUUUCACCUUCUUUGUACUCUCAAAAGUGUUUCCCAUAAGAUUUCACUUCAGUGAUGCUGAUCUCUUCUUAGUCACUGUUAAUUUUUUAGCUCCAGCCAAUCAGCAUCAAUUUCUACUCUCAACUCUUAAACCCAGAGCCAUGUGGUCAAAGCUGCCAAGUUCUGCUUGCCAGAGGUGAAAUAUGGCCCCCUUGUUCUUUUAUCGCCAGCUCAUGUUUUCCUAAUCCUUCACUUCCUAAGCCUGGCUGUCCUGGAACUUGCUCUGUAGAUUGACCUUGACUUCUGAGAUCUGUCUGGAUAUGUCUCUUGAAUGCUGGGAUUAAAAGCAUGAAUGGACCUAAGCUUGUCCUUGGACUUCCUCUGUACCAGGCUGGCCUUGAACUCAGAGAUCUGCUUGCUCUGUCUCUUGGGAUUAAAGCAUGUGCCACGCUGCCUGGACCUAAGCUUUUCAUUAUAUAUCUUAACAAAGUUGAAAACCAAGAAUAGCCAUCACAAUCUACAUCUUGUCAAGUUGAAACAGAAUCAUAUCUCCUUUUGUCCAAAUGAAAACAGCAAACAGGUCAUAACGCCUAAUAUGAUAAAGUAUCCCUUGUACACCUGAAAAUGCAUAAAUUUAUAUGGGUGGGGUCUUGCCUUAAAGUUGUCACUCCCAUAAUUCCAUUUAAUAUCCUUAAACACGGGAUUUGGCUUCAUUCCGCUUCCUGGUGCUUCUUUACUCUUUGACCUAUACAUUUUGUAUUUUCCCUUUCUAAACUUGCUACAUUUGAUUAAACUGCUCUUCGUUAGAGUAAACCUGAGGAUAGAGUAUGCUGGAAGUUUUUGAGAUGUCCUCUGUCAAAGCAAUUAGAAUGAAUUUCUUCACCUUAGCCUUAGGCAGACUUUGCCCAAGGGUGAAAGGAAACAAACUCUCCACCAAAUAUCACAAGAACACUCUCUAGACAGCAUAUUGAAAUUCUUCUCCUCAGAAACCACUUGGAGACCCCCAGACUUCAAAUCACCAUCGGCACCAAUGUAUUCCAUAUUCUUUCUAGGAUGGCCCAUUAAGUCCUGCUUAAAGCAUUCCAUGUCCCCAAAUCCACAUUCUUCUAAUCAAAACAUAGUCUGGCCUGUUACAGCAAUACCUUCCAGUCUCUGGCACCAACUACUGUCUUAGGGUUUCCAUGGCUGUGAAGGGCCACCGUGACCAAAGCAACUCGUACAAAGGACAGCUAAUUUAAUUGGGGCUGCCUUACAGGAUCAGAGGUUCAGUCUAUCAUCAUCUUGGUCGGAAGCAUGGCAGUGUCCAGGCAAGUAUGGUGCUAAAGCAGCUGAGAGUUCUAUGUCUUUUUUGGAAGGCACACAGGAGAAAACUCAGCAUUCUCAGGCAGCUAGAACAAGGAUCUCAAAGCCCACACCCGCAGUGACAGACUUCCUCCAAGACCACACCUACUCCAACAAACCCACUUCUCCUAAUAGUUCCAUUCACUGGGCCAAAGAUAUUCAAACCACCACACCUCUCCUGGGAGCUACAAAGCCUCUGCUAAGGAGGCUUCAUCUUACAGCUGUGUGGCUUCUGGACUCCCGUGUCUCUGGAUACCCUUCCAUUUGGACACUGCUUCAAAACUCUGUGGAUCCUGGUCUUCCAAGUCUCAGGACACCUUCCCAUCCCAGCAGAAAGUCCAGCAUCUUGCUGUCAUGACUUGCGUAGACUCUCUCUGGCGCCCGUGCUUCCCCUCCUCUGUAAGGAUUGAACUGUGCGAGGACUGUGUAUCUCAUCUCCACUUGGCCUGCAGCAGCCUCACCUUCCAGCUCACCUAUAGCUUAACACUACGUCCAGGAGCAUCAAUUGGGAUUACCAGCCCUCAGUUCUGAAGCCAGAGACUGCAACUGCUGGUUAUACCCUGAGAGUGAAGAUUGAACUUGCUCCACAGACUUCAAUCCCACAGAGCAGUAGGAGAGAUGAAGAGGAUGGGGCCUCUACACCCACGUUCAGCAGGACAUAGUCUAAUGAUGUGGCUCCCUUCCCCAGCCCUGACUGCUCAUCAAUAGUAAACAAAAGGGGGAGGGGGACGUUAGCUAUUCAGGCCACACAGGUGGCAGGAAUGGCUUUCCCUACUAUGGAUUCCAUCUGUAACCUUUCAUACUUUGUACACUUGAAAAUAGCAAAUUAAUUACAACAACAACAACAAAACAACAAAACCUCAACCGAGAAAAGAAAACCAAGCACCCAAGGCAAAAAAACAAAACAAAACAGAACAAAACAAAAUAAACCUCAGACCAAAAACCAAACACAAUAAUUAGGGUAAGCAGCAGAUUUAACAGCACAGACGUCCAGCUUGUGGCUCACCUUGGAAAUAUAACAGAAAGGUGCUCAGUGAUUAAUACUCUUGAGGUAAAUGUAGCGUGCACCUGGGUGGAGUGGGGGUUGAUGGACAAGUCCUCCCAAGGCUAAGCACGACACUUGUUACAGGCUUUAGCUCAAGGUCUUUCAAGUUCUCUUGACUGAUCUCCACGAAACUAUUCUUGAUGACUGCAGUGGCCAUUCCUGGUUGUCAACUUGACGAUAUCUGGAGUGAACUACAAUCCAGAAUUGGAUGGCUCACCUGUGAUCCUGAUCUUGGGGCUGAGAGAUACAAGUUUCUGACCUGUAUUUUGACGUGCAGAUCUUAAGGCAAAUGGCUAUGAUUCCCAGGAGCAUAAGGCAAGAGAUCUCUGAAUUCAAGGUCAUCUGGAACAGGCAAGUCCCAGAUCCAGUCAUGUUGGCACAUGCCUUUAAUCUGGGACACACCUUCAGCUGGAGACCUACAUAAAGACAUUGGAAGAACAAAGACUCUUUUUUUCCCCCCUAUCUCCCUUGUGGGACUGAGCCACUGUUAGAUCCUUGGAUUUCCAUUCACAGCUGCUGCUGAUCAUUUUGGGGAGUUGGACUACAGAUUGUAAGUCAUCAACAAAUUCCCUUUAUAGAGACUACCCAUAAGUUCUCUGAGAGCCCUGACUAAUACAAUGACCCAUCAGGGCAAGCACGGAUUUACACUGUCAGAUUCCUCCUGGAUGCCCAGCAGUUCUUGAUUUGCCUCAGCACUUUUCUGAAAUCCCUUCAGGUGCAUAUUCAGCAAGAGGGAACCUCUUACCUCUGUGUGGAAACUCACUUCCCUUUUCUACCAGGGCCACUGCAUUUACUCAGCUUAAAUAUUUCCCUCCUAAGGAUUUCUCUCCAGUAUGGACUCUUUUGUGUAUUUGGAGACUACAGUUUUGGGAAUAGGCUUUAUCAUAUUUAUUUGAAGGGUUUCUCUCCAGUACAAAUCCUUUUACACAUUGGGAGAUUAUCGUGUCCUGAAUAGGCUUUACCACAUUGAUUACAUGUGUAGGGUUUUUUUUUUCUGAUAUGAAUUCUUUUAUGCCUUUGUAGAACAAUAUGUUGUGAAAAGGCUUUACCACUUUCAUUACAUUUGUAAGGUUUCUCUCCGGUAUGAGUUCUUUCUUGCCUUUUGAGAGUACUGUGUUUUGCAAAAGCUUUAACACGUUGAUUACAUUCAUAGGGUUUCUGUCCAGUUUGUUUUUUGUAUUUAGAGACUUGUGUAAGGUGCAAAGGCUUCAACACGCUGAAUAACUUUGUAGGACUUCUUAUCUGAGUGGAUCCUUUCAUGCCUUUGAGCAUGACUGUGAGUGUGACUGUGAGUGUGACUGUGAGCAUGACUGUGAGCAUGAGACUGUGAGCAUGCCUGUGAGCAUGCCUGUGAGCGUGACUGUGAGCAUGACUGUGAGCAUGAGACUCUGAGCAUGCCUGUGAGCAUGCCUGUGAGCAUGACUGUGAGCAUGACUGUGUGAGCAUGACUGUGAGCAUGACUGUGAGCAUGACUGUGUGAGCAUGAGUGUGAGCAUGAGUGUGAGCAUGAGUGUGAGCAUGACUGAGCAUGACUGUGAGCAUGAGUGUGAGCAUGAGUGUGAGCAUGACUAUGAGCAUGAGUGUGAGCAUGACUGUGAGCAUGACUGUGAGCAUGACUGUGAGCAUGACUGUGAGCAUGACUGUGAGCAUGACUGUGAGCAAAGGCUUUACCACAGUGAGUAUAUUCGGAGGGUUUCUCUGCACUCUGACUUCUUUCAUGUCUUUGUCUUCUAGCUCUUUGACAGUGUUCUUCAAUAUUUUGGUCUUCCUAAUUAAAGCCUAUAGCAUAGAGGUUCCUACAGGUCUCUAGCAUGACAUCUUUGUAGAGCUUCUUAUGGGAAGGAUCUAGGAACUCCUGAUCUUCCUGAGUAAAGUUCACAUGCGUGUCCUCAUAAGUCACUGCAUUCACACUGGGAUUUAGUAGCUCAGCCACUCAGCACUCCUCAGAGCCAUCCAACAGCAGAGGUCAAAGCACAUCACACCAACCACUCAACAAUGCAGGUGAACCUGCAGCACCAGUUUCUUGGGUUCUUGGCUUGAAGAAUUCUCAAAGCUCUUCCUGUCCCUAGACAGGUGUUUGUAACAACGACCUGGUGAAACCCACAGCCUUGAGAACUGAGCAACUGCAGGCACACGCAGUCAAAAUUGAGCUAGAAGACAUGUCUGAAAGGCAUUUUCACAGUGGAUCCAAUUGUUAGUGUUUUUGGUGGUCAUUCCUCUUAAGCUUUAGAAUGUAAGCAUCCAUCAUUCACGUAUCAAGAGAGGGAUAUGAAUCUUGAAUUCUCUCAUUAACACUGAAUUUACCUUGCUUGUAUACACUUCAUAUCCUCCGUAAAUCCUGAAUGCCACACACAACAGAGAUGAAGUCAAUAGUUUGUUAGAUAUGCGUGGAUGUCUAGAUCGGUCCUUGGUAAGUCAUGCCACAUGUUUGAGCACACAUCGUCCAAGUUAGCACUUGCCAUUCACAUGCUUUUUUAACACCAAAUACCUCAAAAUAAACCAUUUGCUGAUACCUCUCAGGUACAUAUUAACCACAUAGAAGUCACCAUUAAUCUUCCCACUGGAAUUCAGAACAUCAUGGUGAACAAUUUGUAGGGUCCUCAGACUGAUUUUUUUUCCAAAAAUGCCCGCUGAAUGUCAUGUUUCCUGCUGCUUCCUAGUUGAUGUACUGUCACAUGAGGUAUAAGAGAUUCCCCUUGGGAUGGCGGGCUGCUCAGAGCAGCUUAGUUUGGCCCAGAGGUCUCAGCUGGGGCUUGGGGGACAGAUGGGUGGAAAAAGGGAAGCUCACCUGUAUAGCGUAGGGGUCUGAUGGAAGUAGAGAGGCAGCAGGAGAAUGGAGGUCUCCUGGGAUGGCAGGCUGCUCAGGGAGUGAAUUGGGAGGAAGGGGGAAUAUGGAGAGAAAUGGGGGUUCAGGAUCUGGUGUACUGAAGGCUAAGAGAGGUGAGUAGUGUAGGCAUAGUGCAGUAAAGGUGUAGUGGAGGCUGGAGGACCAUGACCAUGAACGAAGAUCUGCAACUAAUGAGGGUGAGAAGGUGGGGGGCAUCUCUAGGUGAGGGACAGAAACCUGGGAUAAGAGAGGCACCCAAGAAUCAAUGAGGGUGACCUUAGAUGUGGCUUAGUGUCCCUCACGCGACCUCGCCAGCAAGAAAACACGCAGGGACAUACGGAUCCUUGCUACAGCCAAAACUUUUAUUCAAUCUUAAGGAGAAGCCCCACGUGCCCGCAUGGCGCGGCUUAUAUACACCCUAGCGUGGCGAAUCCACACCCGAUUGGUCACUUACCCAUGAUCUCAUAUGGCACGCCCCGGAGUGGGCAAAGACCUGGCAUGAAGGCAUUCUUGCACAUGUGCACACAGUUAACUUCCUGAAGGGAAGUCGGCUGGCGCGGCGGAGGCCAGCGCCAUCUUGUAAUGGCGAAAGCUAUCCUGGCCUUCCACGUGGGGCGCAGUGGAAGCCAGCACCAUCUUGUGGUGGCGAAUGUUAUAGCGGCCCUCUACAUCUCCCCCUUAUAAUUUAUAUAUAACAAAUCAUUUAUUUUAUAACAAAUCAUGAUCACCCUAUCGCGUGCAAUGAGGAAACCUCAGUGAUGUGGAAGGGCUGAUCAAAGGAUCAUUGAGUCUCUCUCAUCCCAGUGCAAUGGAUCCACAGAUCCAUGGGGUGCAAGAGCAGAGAACUCAGAUACCGACUAAUUUUUUGAAGAUAGAUAACCAAAUUCCAGGGGAGGCCCCUUGUUCAAUGGCCACAAGUGCUUGAGUGAUAACAGCCUUGUCACGUUUUUGUUGAGAUCUGAGUUAGCAAACCAACCAUAGCAUGAACACUAAUCCACAGCAUAGGGCUGCACCAAACAGAGCCACUCCCGAUAAGUAGUGGGCACCUCAUCUGGUUCACCUCAGCUGUUACCUCCAAGGGCCGUAGUCAAGCCGCUCCUAUAAUAAAAUUUAGAAUUCUCAAUUGUUAGCAACUACUCCAGAAAGUUCACCCACUGUGCUUGCCUAACAAUAGAUUGGGGGAGGAUAACUCCAGACACUGCAGACACAAUGUCUGUAGCAGUAAUGGCUGCUACAAUAGCAGCGAAAGUGUCAAGGUCUUUUCCAGGACAGUUCAGGAUCUCUGGAACAACCAGCAGGCAAUGGAACCAUGUCUGAGAUCUGUAUAACCAGGACAGAGUUCCCCAGUCCACAGCAGCUUCACGCAGGUGGCAUUCCUGUGAAGCUACAGUCUGUAAAAUGACCAGUUAAGGCAGCAAGAGUCACCAGGGAAAUGAGGGGGGCAGCAACGGCUGGAGUCCAGUCUUCUCCAGCAAGCAGCAGUACACAGAGGGUCAGAGAGCAGGCCACAGUGGGACAGGACACACGCAGCGGUAACACUGACUGCAGCAACGGCAAAAUCUCUGUGAUGUCAAAGGAUGAGGGGGUAAUCUUCCAUCUUCCUCUGGGGGCAGAGGGAUGACUCCAGGGACCCGAACCACGAGAGCUGAAUCUUCAUGUAACCAGGAUCAGCAAGUCUCAGCAACCACCUCUGACAGCUGGCAUACUCUUGUAGCAUCCUGUAGAAAAAACACAAACAUUCCCUCUUCCCCAUAUAAAAUAUCUGGACAGGAUCAUGUCAAUAUGUGGAUCUCUCUAUUUCACCUAGGCAAAAGUAUGCCUAGUUGUAGGGUGCCAUAAACUUUGGCAUCCAAAUUUUAAAAUUGAAAUAAAAGGAGCAUUAUUUAGCAUACAGGGAUAACUCCCCCUUUUUAUUUAUUAAGAUAUAGUAAAGAUAUUAAGGUAAGUCCUCGAGGAUUAAAUUGAGGACACUGAGCACUUGUAUUUAUAAAUUGACUUGUAUACCAAAUUAUUGUCUCCAGCAUUAUUGUUUUGGAUAUAUAAAGAAUGAGAUUUUUUGACUAAUUGUUCCUAUGUAAGGCCUAUAAUCUGUCUGGUAUCAAUGUCCUCCCUUGUUACGGAGCCCAGACAAUCCAGUUUGAGUUCUUAAAUGGUCUAUUAAGGAACAAUACUUAGUGCUCUUAACCACUAAGCCAUUUCUCUAGCACCUCAACAAACUUUAUUUACCUAAACAUAAGCAUUAAUUAGAAAUGUCAAAUCCUGUAAAUAUUGUCCAGAUUCAGUCGUACUAGAAAUCCCUGAACUGGCAGGGUGAGGCUGGGAAUUGAAAGCAAGCAAAUGGAGUCUUCCUCUUUUCAUAUCAACUCCAUUACCAUUUUCAAAGAGCUGGGUCUAUGGUUUUGUUUAGUUGUCUGAGCCAGGGCACUGAAAGGACAGUGAGUUGUCAGACAUUCACACUGAAAUCACUCAUUGAUUUUAAGUAGAAAAUCUGUCUCUAAUAAAGCAUUAAGUAAUUGAAAUCAAUUGUAAUCCACAAGCCACACAUUGGCUAUCAGUAUGUGAAUUGAAAGUUUAAUUUAAAAACAGUGGCUAAACCAUGGAAAUUAAUAAUCUGUGUUGAAGCAAUAGAAACUCAAGAGAAUAAACAAGUGAUCCAAUCAUA